Molecule: non-coding RNA, 119 nt
Organism: Octopus bimaculoides (California two-spot octopus)
Lineage: Eukaryota; Metazoa; Mollusca; Cephalopoda; Octopoda; Octopodidae
Source: Rfam
AUAUACGGCCAUAUCACUUUGAAAACACCGGUUCUCGUCCGAUCACCAAAGUUAAGCAAAGUCGAUACUAGUUAGUACUUAGAUGGGUGACCGCUUGGGAAACCUAGGUGCUGUAAACG